RNAcentral lists this transfer RNA (61 nucleotides) under Salmo salar (Atlantic salmon). It matches the Rfam family "tRNA", at positions 5 to 66 of the family's 71-position model. Rfam says of the family: Transfer RNA (tRNA) molecules are approximately 80 nucleotides in length. The record is from Rfam by way of RNAcentral. Lineage: Eukaryota; Metazoa; Chordata; Actinopteri; Salmoniformes; Salmonidae.
CUGUAGCUCAGUUGGUAGAGCAUGGCACUUUCAAUGCCAGGAUGGUGUGUUCGAUUCCCAG